GUGAGACAGUUAAUGACUGCAUAUGAGAUACCUAUCUCCAUGAUGGGACAGACCUGGAACAUUGGGUUCAUCUGGACCUGGGAACUAUCCAGUGCAGGACUGAUGUUGUCCUUCAGAGCAAGGAACACUGGCCAACACCUUCCCUCCACCAAUCGAAGCGCAGUACAUACGUGUUUACCCACAAGUCUGCAGGGGCCACUGUACUCUGCGCAUAUAGCUUAUAGACUGUGAGCUCACAGACCUAUUGGUUCCCACUAAAGUAACAGGUAUAGUGACUCAGGGAGCUAAGGACUUUGGCCGUGUCCAGUUUGUACUCUCCUAUAAACUGGCCUACAUCAAUGAUGGACUGAGGUGGACUAUGUACCCAGAGGAAGCACACCACAAGGACAAGGUGUAACAUUGACAACAACACCCACAGGAAGAACUUAAUCCAGCCGCCCCAUAUAUGGUCUCUUCCUCCGCCUCAUCCCCUGGUUCUGGUACAGACGUAUCACACUCAGGAUGGAGCUACUGGGCUGCACAGAGGACGACUGACCACCUCUCUCUCUCUCCCCCUCU
Coregonus clupeaformis (lake whitefish) is the source of this 558-nucleotide long non-coding RNA. RefSeq lists it as uncharacterized. The transcript has 3 exons. The record is from RefSeq and is a predicted model, not a curated record. Lineage: Eukaryota; Metazoa; Chordata; Actinopteri; Salmoniformes; Salmonidae.